AUUGAACGCUGGCGGCAGGCCUAACACAUGCAAGUCGAGCGGAUGAAGGGAGCUUGCUCCUGGAUUCAGCGGCGGACGGGUGAGUAAUGCCUAGGAAUCUGCCUGGUAGUGGGGGAUAACGUCCGGAAACGGGCGCUAAUACCGCAUACGUCCUGAGGGAGAAAGUGGGGGAUCUUCGGACCUCACGCUAUCAUAUGAGCCUAGGUCGGAUUAGCUAGUUGGUGGGGUAAAGGCCUACCAAGCGGACGAUCCGUAACUGGUCUGAGAGGCUGAUCAGUCACAUGGGAACUGGGACAGGGACAAGGCUCCUAAGGGAGGCAGCAGACGGGAAUAUUGGACAAUGGGGGAAAGCCUGAUCCAGCCAUGCCGCGUGUGUGAAGAAGGUCUUCGGAUUGUAAAGCACUUUAAGUUGGGAGGAAGGGCAGUAAGUUAAUACCUUGCUGUUUUGACGUUACCAACAGAAUAAGCACCGGCUAACUUCGUG
RNAcentral lists this ribosomal RNA (484 nucleotides) under uncultured bacterium. Its description in RNAcentral is "partial 16S ribosomal RNA". It matches the Rfam family "Bacterial small subunit ribosomal RNA", at positions 30 to 507 of the family's 1533-position model. The record is from RNAcentral.